Molecule: long non-coding RNA, 442 nt
Filed under: Pongo abelii (Sumatran orangutan)
Lineage: Eukaryota; Metazoa; Chordata; Mammalia; Primates; Hominidae
Description: lincRNA
Source: RNAcentral
CAAGCUCCUUUUGUCUGGGCAUCCCCCUCCCCCUCCCCAGAAGCGGGGGCCGAGUCGCCCACUCCCCUUCCUAGCAGCCGGUUAUUUCCAGCACGGAGCAGCUGCCCAAGUUACCUGGGAGAUGGGAAAAUCGUGUGAAAGCUGGUUAACCCUUUGAGGAUUAGAAUAAUGGUGGAAGCAGAAAGGAGAAGGGGUUUCACUCCCAGGAUGUAGGUAGGACCAGCCCUCCCUGCAGUCCUGUCCUACAAGGCUCAAGUCUCGUCCACUCCAAAUCACCACUGGGAUUCCUAAGUCCAGGACAGAGCUUCAGGCAAGGAAAAGAGAAGAGUUGGGAAAGCCACUUUCCAACAUUUAUCAGCCACGUGUACCUGCAAACUAUAUACCUAGGGUAAAUCAUCACUCUCUUGAAAUAGGAAUAAAACCAUCUGCCUUGUCUUUCUUA